CCUACGGGUGGCAGCAGUGGGGAAUAUUGCACAAUGGGGGAAACCCUGAUGCAGCGACGCCGCGUGAGUGAAGAAGUAAUUCGUUACGUAAAGCUCUAUCCGCAGGGAAGAAACACUGACCUUACGGUCAGCAGACGGUACCUGCGUAAGAAGCCCCGGCUAACUACGGGCCAGCAGCCGCGGUAAUACGUAGGGGCCAAGCAUUAUCCGGAUUUACUGGGUGUAAAGGGAGCUUAGACGGUGGGCAAAAUCCGGAGGGAAAUGCCGCAGCUUAACUGCGGAAUGGCUUUUGAAACUGGCGAACUAGAGUACGGUAGGGGUAAGGGGAAUUCCUAGUGUAGCGGUGAAAUGCGUAAAUAUUAGGAGGAACACCGGUGGCGAAGGCGGCUUACUGGACCGUAACUGACGUUGAGGCUCGAAAGCGUGGGGAGCAAACAGGAUUAGAUACCCCGGUAGUC
This 458-nucleotide ribosomal RNA is filed under the name uncultured bacterium. RNAcentral describes it as "partial 16S ribosomal RNA". It matches the Rfam family "Bacterial small subunit ribosomal RNA", at positions 338 to 795 of the family's 1533-position model. The record is from RNAcentral.